RNAcentral lists this ribosomal RNA (375 nucleotides) under uncultured bacterium. RNAcentral's name for it is "bacterial SSU rRNA". It matches the Rfam family "Bacterial small subunit ribosomal RNA", at positions 521 to 896 of the family's 1533-position model. The record is from RNAcentral.
UAAUACGAAGGGGGCUAGCGUUGCUCGGAAUUACUGGGCGUAAAGGGCGCGUAGGCGGACAGUUAAGUCAGAGGUGAAAUCCCAGGGCUCAACCCUGGAAUUGCCUUUGAUACUGGCUGUCUUGAGUAUGGGAGAGGUAAGCGGAACUCCGAGUGUAGAGGUGAAAUUCGUAGAUAUUCGGAAGAACACCAGUGGCGAAGGCGGCUUACUGGCCCAUUACUGACGCUGAGGCGCGAAAGCGUGGGGAGCAAACAGGAUUAGAUACCCUGGUAGUCCACGCCGUAAACGAUGAGUGCUAGUUGUCGGCAUGCAUGCAUGUCGGUGACGCAGCUAACGCAUUAAGCACUCCGCCUGGGGAGUACGGUCGCAAGAUUA